AACGAACGCUGGCGGCAUGCCUAACACAUGCAAGUCGAACGAGACCUUCGGGUCUAGUGGCGCACGGGUGCGUAACGCGUGGGAACCUGCCCUUAGGUUCGGAAUACCUCCCCGAAAGGGGUGCUAAUACCGGAUAAUGUCUUCGGACCAAAGAUUUAUCGCCUUUGGAUGGGCCCGCGUUGGAUUAGCUAGUUGGUAGGGUAAAAGCCUACCAAGGCGACGAUCCAUAGCUGGUCUGAGAGGAUGAUCAGCCACACUGGGACUGAGACACGGCCCAGACUCCUACGGGAGGCAGCAGUGGGGAAUAUUGGACAAGGGGCGAAAGCCUGAUCCAGCAAUGCCGCGUGAGUGAUGAAGGCCUUAGGGUUGUAAAGCUCUUUUACCCGGGAUGAUAAUGACAGUACCGGGAGAAUAAGCUCCGGCUAACUCCGUG
RNAcentral lists this ribosomal RNA (433 nucleotides) under uncultured bacterium. RNAcentral's name for it is "partial 16S ribosomal RNA". It matches the Rfam family "Bacterial small subunit ribosomal RNA", at positions 29 to 507 of the family's 1533-position model. The record is from RNAcentral.